RNA transcript from Mus musculus (house mouse), 3309 nucleotides. It is a transcript of the gene named ATP-binding cassette, sub-family D member 4, with no coding region annotated. The transcript is spliced from 19 exons. NCBI's taxonomy places the organism in Eukaryota, Metazoa, Chordata, Mammalia, Rodentia, Muridae. The record is from RefSeq and is marked validated.
GUCCCACCCCUUUCCUCCUAGGGCGGGGCCCCGAGCUCUGAGGACUCUGCCCGGGGAGGACACCGGGCUUGCUCGGUCGCCUCGUCGCUUGCAUCCCGGGUCAUGGCGGUCCCGGGACCCACGGCCCGAGCUGGUGCCAGGCCCAGAUUAGAUCUGCAACUUGUCCAGAGGUUCGUGAGGAUACAGAAGGUUUUCUUUCCUUCUUGGUCAUCACAGAAUGUCUUAAUGUUCAUGACGCUCUUGUGCGUGACCCUCCUGGAGCAACUGGUGAUCUACCAAGUUGGCUUGAUCCCCAGUCAGUAUUAUGGAGUCUUGGGAAACAAAGACCUGGAUGGAUUUAAGGCACUGACCUUGCUGGCCGUGACACUUAUUGUCCUCAACUCCACCCUGAAGAGCUUUGACCAGUUCACCUGCAACCUGCUGUACGUGAGCUGGAGGAAGGACCUCACGGAGCACCUGCACCACCUGUACUUCCGGGCCCGCGUGUACUACACCCUCAACGUGCUGCGGGACGACAUUGAUAAUCCGGACCAGCGAAUCAGCCAGGAUGUGGAGCGAUUCUGCCGCCAGCUCAGCAGCGUGACCAGCAAGCUGAUCAUUUCCCCCUUCACUCUUACCUACUACACUUACCAGUGCUUCCAAAGCACAGGCUGGCUCGGGCCUGUGAGCAUCUUUGGAUAUUUCAUCGUGGGGACCAUGGUGAACAAAACUUUGAUGGGGCCCAUCGUGACGAAGCUGGUGCAGCAGGAGAAGCUGGAGGGGGAUUUUAGGUUCAAGCACAUGCAGAUUCGAGUGAAUGCAGAGCCUGCGGCUUUCUAUAGAGCUGGGCUCGUCGAGCACAUGAGGACAGACCGCAGGCUGCAGAGACUCCUUCAGACCCAGAGAGAGCUGAUGUCCAGGGAGCUCUGGCUGUACAUUGGUAUCAACACCUUUGACUAUCUGGGCAGCAUCCUGAGUUAUGUCGUCAUCGCUAUCCCCAUUUUCAGUGGGGUCUAUGGAGAUUUGAGCCCCACAGAGCUUAGCACCCUGGUCAGCAAGAAUGCCUUUGUGUGCAUCUACCUCAUCAGCUGCUUCACCCAGCUCAUUGACCUGUCCACCACACUCUCGGAUGUUGCCGGUUACACACACAGGAUUGGAGAGCUUCAGGAGGCCCUGCUGGACAUGUCCCGAAAAUCACAAGACUGUGAAGCCCUAGGCGAGAGUGAGUGGGACUUGGACAAAACCCCAGGGUGUCCAACAACAGAGCCAUCAGACACAGCUUUUCUGCUCGAUCGGGUUUCCAUAUUGGCCCCCUCCUCUGACAAGCCCCUGAUCAAGGACUUGAGCUUGAAGAUCUGUGAGGGGCAGAGUCUGCUCAUCACAGGCAACACGGGCACUGGCAAGACCUCCCUGCUGCGGGUGCUGGGAGGCCUGUGGGAGGGCAUGAAAGGCUCAGUGCAGAUGCUGGCUGAUUUUGGGCCCCACGGGGUGCUGUUCCUGCCUCAGAAGCCAUUCUUCACUGAUGGGACACUUCGGGAGCAGGUGAUAUAUCCCCUGAAGGAGAUCUACCCUGACUCAGGUUCUGCGGACGAUGAGAGGAUUGUGAGGUUCUUGGAAUUGGCAGGCCUGUCCAGCUUGGUGGCAAGGACUGGAGGUCUGGACCAGCAGGUGGAUUGGAACUGGUAUGAUGUCCUGUCCCCAGGGGAGAUGCAAAGACUCUCCUUCGCCCGUCUCUUCUACCUGCAGCCCAAGUAUGCAGGCAGCUGUGAGAUCUGAGCCAGGCUCACAGGUGUGAUCUCUAUCUUGGCGUGACUCUCCUGUCAGUCCACCACAUCCCAGGGUGAAUGGGUUGGAGGAGUGACAGAGAGGGCAAGGGCAGUCUGUGAUCUCUCGCCACCACAUGCUGCUCGUCAGUGCUCGAUGAAGCCACCAGUGCCCUGACAGAGGAAGCAGAGAGUGAGCUCUACCGAAUUGGUCAGCAACUGGGGAUGACAUUUAUCAGCGUGGGACAUCGUCCCAGCCUUGAGAAGUUUCACUCCUGGGUUCUGAGACUCCACGGAGGAGGAAGCUGGGAGCUGACUAGAAUCAAACUGGAAUGAAGGCAAGCAUGCAGGUUCAUCUGAGCAGCGGAGCUCCGGGGCCUGCGGUGCCCACAGACAAGGAAGCCCGAUGAGCCGGGAAGGAGCCACAGAUUCACCUGAGGUCCUACACAGGAGCCCUAGCAGCCUCUAGCCCUGCCCACGGGUGGCGCUACAGGGAACACUGAGUCUCCCCAGCGCUGCUCCCAUGACUUCUUACUUCAGAUGACGUUUGCUGCUGAAAAACGGAAUGAACUGUAAGACGUGAAGGGCCAGGGUGAGAAAACUAUCGGACUCAAGAACUGGUGAUGCCGGGCGGCGGCGCACGCCUUUAAUCCCAGCACUUGGGAGGCAGAGGCAGGCGGAUUUCUGAGUUCGAAGCCAGCCUGGUCUACAGAGUGAGUUCCAGGACAGCCAGGGCUAUACAGAGAAACCCUGUCUCGAAAAAAAAAAAAAAAAGAAAGAAAAAGAAAACUGGUGACAUUUCACAAUGAUAGCCUUUUAAAAAAAACUUUAAUAACCAUUUAAAAUUUAUAACUUUUUAAAAAAGAAUAAAUAUUAAAAAUAUGGUUUUUCUUCUACAAUAGACUGAUUUUUUUAUUUAAAGAUUUUUAUUUAUUUAUUAUAUGUAAGUACACUGUAGCUGUCUUCAGAAACUUUUUUUUUUCUUUUCUCUCUGGUCCUGCUUGCUCUGGCCCAAAGAUUUAUUUAUUUAUUAUAUUACACUGUACACUGUAGCUGUCUUCAGACACACCAGAAGAGGGCAUCAGAUCCCAGGACAGAUGGUUGUGAGCCAUCAUGCGGGUGCUGGGAAUUGAACUCAGGAGCAGGGACUGCUCUCUCUCCAGCCCCUAGAGUGAUCUUUUUUAUAGCAUCUCUACACUUGUCCUCUAGGGUUUGAGGCACACUCGUGCCCUAUACCUGCUGUGCUUUUCCACUCAAUCUGUGUCCCUCCUGUCCACCCAAUGGCCUGGAGACAGCGGGUGUGGCCAGUGCCAAGACCACCGUCUCUUGGGAUCCUCUGUCUUUAUCUUUUGUUCGUCUGUUUCAUUACUGCGGAUUGAACCUAGGGCCUUAUGAACCCUACGCGGCUGUGAUACCACUGAUACACAUCUUUAUUAUCUAAUUCAAGAAAAUUAUCCCUUCCCCCCUUACUAGCUAAAAUAAGGUUGGUAGAUGUCUUCUUUUGUUUUCCCCACCCCCACCCCAAAAUCUGUAUUAGGAACAAGAAAAAAAAAAAAAACUAAGCCAA